UUAAUGGAGAGGGGAGACUCGUCACGACCAGCUCAUUUCUAGGAUCCGGGUUAAUGAUCCGGAUGAAUCACGACUCGCCCAUCUCUCGUGGAAAACUGUGCAAAAGUGGAGUCGCGCAAUAUCUGACUUGAAGCAAAUAAGCGCGAAAAAAAGGCGCCCUCAAGAGGAAGUCAGUUGGAAGGAUUGUCGGUGGAAAACUGCAAAAGUCGAGUCGCGAAAUUUGAAAGUGGGCAGAAAAUAGUGGUUGAGUGGCAAGUGCACUAUCACCAUUAAGAGUAACUGGCUGUUGACAACCUAUAC
Molecule: long non-coding RNA, 300 nt
Organism: Trematomus bernacchii (emerald rockcod)
Lineage: Eukaryota; Metazoa; Chordata; Actinopteri; Perciformes; Nototheniidae
Exons: 4
Source: RefSeq, a predicted model, not a curated record